RNAcentral lists this ribosomal RNA (256 nucleotides) under uncultured bacterium. RNAcentral describes it as "partial 16S ribosomal RNA". It matches the Rfam family "Bacterial small subunit ribosomal RNA", at positions 524 to 777 of the family's 1533-position model. The record is from RNAcentral.
UACGUAGGUGGCAAGCGUUGUCCGGAAUUAUUGGGCGUAAAGCGCGCGCAGGCGGUCCUUUAAGUCUGAUGUGAAAGCCCACGGCUCAACCGUGGAGGGUCAUUGGAAACUGGGGGACUUGAGUGCAGAAGAGGAAAGCGGAAUUCCACGUGUAGCGGAUGAAAUGCGUAGAGAUGUGGAGGAACACCAGUGGCGAAGGCGGCUUUCUGGUCUGAUAACUGACGCUGAGGCGCGAAAGCGUGGGGAGCAAACAGGA